AUAAAGUUAGCUCAUUGGGUAGAGCAAUCGUCUCAUCAACGAUCGGUAGUCGGUUCGAAUCCGACACUUUACACCA
Molecule: transfer RNA, 76 nt
Filed under: Alkalinema sp. RL_2_19
Lineage: Bacteria; Bacillati; Cyanobacteriota; Cyanophyceae; Leptolyngbyales; Leptolyngbyaceae
Description: tRNA-Met
Rfam family: tRNA
About the family: Transfer RNA (tRNA) molecules are approximately 80 nucleotides in length.
Source: RNAcentral